Molecule: ribosomal RNA, 2904 nt
Filed under: Escherichia coli
Lineage: Bacteria; Pseudomonadati; Pseudomonadota; Gammaproteobacteria; Enterobacterales; Enterobacteriaceae
Description: 23S ribosomal RNA
Rfam family: Bacterial large subunit ribosomal RNA
Source: RNAcentral
GGUUAAGCGACUAAGCGUACACGGUGGAUGCCCUGGCAGUCAGAGGCGAUGAAGGACGUGCUAAUCUGCGAUAAGCGUCGGUGAGGUGAUAUGAACCGUUAUAACCGGCGAUUUCCGAAUGGGGAAACCCAGUGUGAUUCGUCACACUAUCAUUAACUGAAUCCAUAGGUUAAUGAGGCGAACCGGGGGAACUGAAACAUCUAAGUACCCCGAGGAAAAGAAAUCAACCGAGAUUCCCCCAGUAGCGGCGAGCGAACGGGGAGGAGCCCAGAGCCUGAAUCAGUGUGUGUGUUAGUGGAAGCGUCUGGAAAGGCGUGCGAUACAGGGUGACAGCCCCGUACACAAAAAUGCACAUAUUGUGAGCUCGAUGAGUAGGGCGGGACACGUGGUAUCCUGUCUGAAUAUGGGGGGACCAUCCUCCAAGGCUAAAUACUCCUGACUGACCGAUAGUGAACCAGUACCGUGAGGGAAAGGCGAAAAGAACCCCGGCGAGGGGAGUGAAAAAGAACCUGAAACCGUGUACGUACAAGCAGUGGGAGCCUCUUAAUGGGGUGACUGCGUACCUUUUGUAUAAUGGGUCAGCGACUUAUAUUCUGUAGCAAGGUUAACCGAAUAGGGGAGCCGAAGGGAAACCGAGUCUUAACUGGGCGUUAAGUUGCAGGGUAUAGACCCGAAACCCGGUGAUCUAGCCAUGGGCAGGUUGAAGGUUGGGUAACACUAACUGGAGGACCGAACCGACUAAUGUUGAAAAAUUAGCGGAUGACUUGUGGCUGGGGGUGAAAGGCCAAUCAAACCGGGAGAUAGCUGGUUCUCCCCGAAAGCUAUUUAGGUAGCGCCUCGUGAAUUCAUCUCCGGGGGUAGAGCACUGUUUCGGCAAGGGGGUCAUCCCGACUUACCAACCCGAUGCAAACUGCGAAUACCGGAGAAUGUUAUCACGGGAGACACACGGCGGGUGCUAACGUCCGUCGUGAAGAGGGAAACAACCCAGACCGCCAGCUAAGGUCCCAAAGUCAUGGUUAAGUGGGAAACGAUGUGGGAAGGCCCAGACAGCCAGGAUGUUGGCUUAGAAGCAGCCAUCAUUUAAAGAAAGCGUAAUAGCUCACUGGUCGAGUCGGCCUGCGCGGAAGAUGUAACGGGGCUAAACCAUGCACCGAAGCUGCGGCAGCGACACUAUGUGUUGUUGGGUAGGGGAGCGUUCUGUAAGCCUGUGAAGGUGGCCUGUGAGGGUUGCUGGAGGUAUCAGAAGUGCGAAUGCUGACAUAAGUAACGAUAAAGCGGGUGAAAAGCCCGCUCGCCGGAAGACCAAGGGUUCCUGUCCAACGUUAAUCGGGGCAGGGUGAGUCGACCCCUAAGGCGAGGCCGAAAGGCGUAGUCGAUGGGAAACAGGUUAAUAUUCCUGUACUUGGUGUUACUGCGAAGGGGGGACGGAGAAGGCUAUGUUGGCCGGGCGACGGUUGUCCCGGUUUAAGCGUGUAGGCUGGUUUUCCAGGCAAAUCCGGAAAAUCAAGGCUGAGGCGUGAUGACGAGGCACUACGGUGCUGAAGCGACAAAUGCCCUGCUUCCAGGAAAAGCCUCUAAGCAUCAGGUAACAUCAAAUCGUACCCCAAACCGACACAGGUGGUCAGGUAGAGAAUACCAAGGCGCUUGAGAGAACUCGGGUGAAGGAACUAGGCAAAAUGGUGCCGUAACUUCGGGAGAAGGCACGCUGAUAUGUAGGUGAAGCGACUUGCUCGUGGAGCUGAAAUCAGUCGAAGAUACCAGCUGGCUGCAACUGUUUAUUAAAAACACAGCACUGUGCAAACACGAAAGUGGACGUAUACGGUGUGACGCCUGCCCGGUGCCGGAAGGUUAAUUGAUGGGGUUAGCGGUAACGCGAAGCUCUUGAUCGAAGCCCCGGUAAACGGCGGCCGUAACUAUAACGGUCCUAAGGUAGCGAAAUUCCUUGUCGGGUAAGUUCCGACCUGCACGAAUGGCGUAAUGAUGGCCAGGCUGUCUCCACCCGAGACUCAGUGAAAUUGAACUCGCUGUGAAGAUGCAGUGUACCCGCGGCAAGACGGAAAGACCCCGUGAACCUUUACUAUAGCUUGACACUGAACAUUGAGCCUUGAUGUGUAGGAUAGGUGGGAGGCUUUGAAGUGUGGACGCCAGUCUGCAUGGAGCCGACCUUGAAAUACCACCCUUUAAUGUUUGAUGUUCUAACGUGGGCCCCUUACCGGGGUUGCGGACAGUGUCUGGUGGGUAGUUUGACUGGGGCGGUCUCCUCCUAAAGAGUAACGGAGGAGCACGAAGGUUGGCUAAUCCUGGUCGGACAUCAGGAGGUUAGUGCAAUGGCAUAAGCCAGCUUGACUGCGAGCGUGACGGCGCGAGCAGGUGCGAAAGCAGGUCAUAGUGAUCCGGUGGUUCUGAAUGGAAGGGCCAUCGCUCAACGGAUAAAAGGUACUCCGGGGAUAACAGGCUGAUACCGCCCAAGAGUUCAUAUCGACGGCGGUGUUUGGCACCUCGAUGUCGGCUCAUCACAUCCUGGGGCUGAAGUAGGUCCCAAGGGUAUGGCUGUUCGCCAUUUAAAGUGGUACGCGAGCUGGGUUUAGAACGUCGUGAGACAGUUCGGUCCCUAUCUGCCGUGGGCGCUGGAGAACUGAGGGGGGCUGCUCCUAGUACGAGAGGACCGGAGUGGACGCAUCACUGGUGUUCGGGUUGUCAUGCCAAUGGCACUGCCCGGUAGCUAAAUGCGGAAGAGAUAAGUGCUGAAAGCAUCUAAGCACGAAACUUGCCCCGAGAUGAGUUCUCCCUGACUCCUUGAGAGUCCUGAAGGAACGUUGAAGACGACGACGUUGAUAGGCCGGGUGUGUAAGCGCAGCGAUGCGUUGAGCUAACCGGUACUAAUGAACCGUGAGGCUUAACCUU